Molecule: long non-coding RNA, 1887 nt
Filed under: Capsicum annuum
Lineage: Eukaryota; Viridiplantae; Streptophyta; Magnoliopsida; Solanales; Solanaceae
Description: long non-coding RNA (CANN_LNC017002)
Source: RNAcentral
CAACAAUCAUCAUCAUAUGGAGGAAAACACUUCUAGUAGUAAUUAUAUGUACAACCAUUUUCCAUUUACUACUUCACAAACAUUGCCACUAGCCUCUACUUUACCACCUCCACCUUUGUCAAUUCCUUCAGUACAUAAUACUAUUGAAUUUGACUCAAUAUCCCCAUUGAAGUCAGAAUUUUGUAACUAUAAUAGUAGUAGUAGUUGUAGUAGUUAUGGUUCUCCAGCUACAAGUUAUAAUAAUGAUCCAACAAGUUUGAUUCAAAGAAGCAUAAGCAGUCACUCACUACUUGUCAAGAAUAUGGAAGGAUUUUGCCCAAUUGUUUCUUCACCAACUGGUUUUCAUGACUCAGAAACCCCUAGCUCCGUCAGGAAAGUUUUAAGCACCGGCGAUUUGCAGGUAAACUACAUUUAAUUUAUUUGUUGUAGCAGGUAGUCUGUCUUAUUAUCAAAAUUACAAAUCACAUAUUUGAAGGAGGUUUAUUUCUACACAAUCUUUGGAUGACCUAAUAGUAUAAAAAUUUCUUAGCUAUGCAAUUUAAUAAGCAUACGUAUGUAUCUUAAUGGAUUUAUUUUGAACUAUCUCCAGUCUCCUUUACCAAAUCCAAACUUUGAAAAUACCGAACGGAAUACCAAAUACCCAUCCCUGCUAGUAGUUAUAUACUUGAUUAUUUGAUUAUUUAUAUAUGCAUGUAACAGGUAAUGCACCUGAUGCAGUAUAAUAAUUACCGUUCAGAAAGUCCAUUAUCCAGUGAGAGUAACAGCAUAAUUGAAGGAAUGAAUAAAGCUUGCAAAUACAGUCCACAAGAGAAGAAAGAACGCAUUGAAAGAUACAGAAGCAAGAGAAAUCAAAGAAAUUUUAACAAGAAGCAUCAUGAGUACAAUUUGCUAAUGUGCGAGUAGUGUUCUACCUAUUUACUGUUUAGACCAUCUCAUUGACAUUGAUCCACUAUCAGAAAAAAAUUGUUUCGCUCGGUGUUUAAUACUUGUAUUAAGAUUUGACUAAAUUUUAAUUUUCAUCGAGAAUACAUCAUGAGUACAAUUUGCUAAUGUGCGAGUAGUGUUCUACCUAUUUACUGUUUAGACCAUCUCAUUGACAUUGAUCCACUAUCAGAAAAAAAUUGUUUCGCUCGGUGUUUAAUACUUGUAUUAAGAUUUGACUAAAUUUUAAUUUUCAUCGAGAAAAUUUCACUUUAAAAGUUAAAUACUCUCUAUCAAAAGCAACUUCAUAUUCAACAGAAUUUAAACCCAAUACCUCUAACUAAACACAAAGUCGUAUACUCUGUUUCUAUCAAAUAUUCAAGAUCCAUUUAAUGACCCCGUUGUAAGAAUUCUAUUUCUCCCUUCCCAUCUACCUCUCCUCACUUCACAACCCUACUACUAUAACCAUAUCUUUGAGAGAACGAUCAGUAUGAAUUAUUAAUAGAAUCAGUAAAUUCCAUAUAUAGGCAGCAACAUAUCAAGUCAACGCCACUCAAGAAAGAAAACAUGACAUCACUUCCACGUCACAUUCCAAUAUGUCCAUUUCCUUUAAGAAGGUAUUCACACACCAAUUCCCUAUCAUAACAAUCUUAACUCUUUUCAUUUUCUUCCUCUCUUCAAAACUUUCCAAAAAAGAAAAACAAAACAAUCAACACUAUGUAUCGAUACAACAAUCAUCAUCAUAUGGAGGAAAACACUUCUAGUAGUAAUUAUAUGUACAACCAUUUUCCAUUUACUACUUCACAAACAUUGCCACUAGCCUCUACUUUACCACCUCCACCUUUGUCAAUUCCUUCAGUACAUAAUACUAUUGAAUUUGACUCAAUAUCCCCAUUGAAGUCAGAAUUUUGUAACUAUAAUAGUAGUAGUAGUUGUAGUAGUUAUGGUUCUCCAGCUACAAGUUAU